Molecule: long non-coding RNA, 1967 nt
Organism: Alligator mississippiensis (American alligator)
Lineage: Eukaryota; Metazoa; Chordata; Crocodylia; Alligatoridae
Exons: 3
Source: RefSeq, a predicted model, not a curated record
CCCCCCCCCCCCUGCAAUAUACACUUUGGCACAUGACCUCCCUGUAUCUCAGGGUACAGGUCUUGGGCUCCUUUUUGGGUUCUUUGGGCUACUUGGUACUUUGCAGGCAGGAUUCAUGCUCUUCUUGGGGGCAGGCACUGUAUUCCCCACCUGAGGCCUUGGAGACGAGUGCCCUGGCACUUGACCAGCCAUUCUUCUGCGCCCCCGCCCCGGCCUGAAGCCCGUAACCAGGGUCCAGGUCCCUUUGAUUCUUUGGGUCAGGUUUUGUUCCACUUGCUGAGGUUGAUCAGAGAUGAUACCCACAGACUACAGGGAAGGGUGCAGGCUUCUGGAGGAUACUGAGUGCGUUGGGACACCGAGGCUUAGUGACCUUCCUGUAACUCAGGUCCAGGUCUCUGCUCCUCUGUUCUGCUGCUUCUGGCACUAUGAGAUGCCCCCCUGCACCCUGUAAACAGGGCUGCACCCCCACCCCCUCUGACCUUGGGGGAUAAGACCUCCUUUAGCCCUUUGGGCUCUGUGGCUUCUGUGGCAGGAGGCUGAAGUUGUGGCCCUUCUGUCCUGUCUGGCCCUUCUGUCCACAGGGCAGGUUUGACCCCUGAGCAAGACCGCCUGGGGCACCUGUCAGCUGGCAUUCAGGACUUUGCAGGUUGUGUCUGGGCUUCAUGCCCCAGCAGCCAGCUGUGGGCGGGGAGCACUGCCCUGUCAGCAGGGUUUCUGGUGUUUGUGGUCACCGUUAAUGGUGCCGCCCUAGCAGUUCUGUCCAGAGUCCUGGCCCGUCGCACUCUCCUGGCUGGCCCAGAUAUCAACAGCCGAUCCCGCAGACGUCUGCCCUCACCACUUUCUGCAGACAGAGGACAGUGACCAUGGGUCCAGCCCCCAGAAGAAGAAGCAGACAAGACAGCAGACAACCAACUGAGGAAGAAAGAAACCCCUGCCUGCCCAGCAGGAGGGAAAGGUCCCUGAAGGGCAGCUGGAGAAGAAGGAAGGAAAGCAGGAAAACGAAGCUCGGGAACGAGAAGUGUGGGUUGCGGUGCGCAGGAGGGAGGGAGUGAAAUGUUUAAUGUAUGCUUAGGUAAAUACAGAUGGAGACUGGUGUGCAUGUGUACACUUUCAAACGCCCAUUAGGAGCAAGCAGCCGCACGCUUCAAGCUGCACUGUGCACUCGGUCUUGGGUUGGCCCCGAUUGUGUGCAAGGAGGUUGAGGCUUUGUGCUAGUUGUGCGUAUUGAUAUGCAGCAGUCAAGGGUUUUGCAGGUUGUCUGGCUUGGCUAGUUAAGCAGUGGAUCAGAACAGAUGCAGUUGAAGGCACUGUGUAGGUCUUCCUUGGUUGGGUUGUUGAGCGGUUCUCGGUGUCGGUGUAGAAAUGCAGGUUUGUGCUCAGUUCUGUUUGUGGCUCGGCUGUAGCUUGCUUAGGCUGUAGGUUGCGGGGACAAUUUCAGGCUGUUUGUGGUGCAGUUUGUUUGCGUCUGGAAGUUGCGUCUCCUUGGGUGUUUGAAAGCAUUGUAUCUCCAGCUCCAUGACCCAUGAGGAUGAAGGACUCAUCCUGUGUCCAAAGGAUCGCAAAGGGAGUUGGCGUGGUCGGCGUCAAACCGGUAGGAGCAAGUGGGCCUAAGAUGCGCACAGUCAAAUAAUAAAAUGGUCUAAGAAACUUCACCUCGUGGCUGGUGCUUUUCUACGCUGAGAAGAUUUGUCCACGGGCCUUUCCUGUUGCGAGCUGGCUGAAGGAUGAACUUUUUCAUUCAGUCUGGCGAUCCGAUCUGUGUUCUUACUUGUGCAAUGCAAAUAUUUCCUGUUCUGUUUGACCAGCGGUAAAAGAAUGUGUAACACGUGGUUCCUAGUCUUCGGUUUGCAAUGGUUGAUGCACUGUUUUUUGAAGAAAUAAAAUAUAAGGUCCAGUGAAGUUGUGGUGGUUUGUAUAAUUUAGUGGAGUUCAGCUGUUCCUUGUCUCACCCGAAAAAAUGGUCCCAA